CUGCAGCCAGUGGAACCUACUGUGUUCUCUUCUCUCAUGGAAACUAUUUGCUAUGACUAUAAACAGUAGCCUCGUUGGUAGUGUCAGAAGCUUGUGGCUUGUAUAAAAUUUCCUCAAGGGGCUUGAAUACAAGC
Sorex fumeus (smoky shrew) is the source of this 134-nucleotide small nucleolar RNA. RefSeq annotates it as small nucleolar RNA SNORA70. Lineage: Eukaryota; Metazoa; Chordata; Mammalia; Eulipotyphla; Soricidae. The transcript has a single exon. The record is from RefSeq and is a predicted model, not a curated record.